CUCCUUCUCUCUCAUCUCUGGUUCUGCCCUGCUCUCAUUCUCUCUCAUCUUUUGUUCUGCUCUCAUCUCUCCUUCCUCUUUCGUUCCCAUCUCGUUCUGCUCUCAUCUCUCGUGUGAGGUCUUCGAUUUUCGUUCGAAUCUUGUUCGAGUUAAAGCAAGUGGUGAACGAUUAGAGAGACAGUUAGACCGGCGACACCGUCACCUGCAGCGCUUUCGACCAAUACACCGUCACCUUUAACGGCUUCCGGUACCGACGCUUCAAAGGUUUUUUUUUUCCCUGUUAAAGCUUACAAAACCCUAAUGUAAAUCUCUCUUUCGCUCAAUUUUUUCCCCAAUUACAAGUAAGUUUCUUCUCUUUUUCGCUUAAUUCAUCUUUAUAUUCUCUUAUGCUGUAUUUUUUGUUGAUUUUCUUAUAGAUUUAGUUGAAAUUUGUUGUAUUACGUUGUGUUUUUUUUUUUUUUUUUUUUUUUUUUUUUUUUUUUUUUUUUUUAUUUUUAAUCUCCGUUUUUUUGCUCAUUUUUUUCCCCAAUUUUAAGUAAUGUUUUUGCUAACCUUGGCUGUGUUUGUGGGUUCUUUGAUUUUGGAACUUUACUCGUUAUUUUGGGUUCACUGUUUCUUUUUUUCUUUUUCUUUUUUUAUUCAAUAACUUUGCUAUGAAUCUGAGUUUGUUUUGUUAAAUAAUUAGUUUAAUACAUUAUAAUUGGCCUAUGAACAAGUUGAGUUGCACUAUAUUCAUACUGAUGAAAAUUUGUAUGCAUUAGUCAAUUUUUUCAAGCAUUGGAUUUGAGUUUCAAUUUUGUUAAAUGAAGCUGAUAAAGAAUUGUUGCUUAUAUAACUUUGUCUUUUUCAUAUGAAAUACUAGAGUGUAUCAUGGUUUGAAAGGAAAUAGAAUAUGAGGCUGGUAAAUAUUAUCAUAUCUUAAUAUUAUAAUUACAUGUUUAGAAAUUCUAACAGUAUAUUGCAUGGGAAUGAGUAGGUGACAUGUGUACUUGCUCUAAAAUGUCAAUUGCAGGCUUUAGGUUUUGCUGAGUUUUCAAAAGGGGUUUGACAAGUCUGUGAAGUUGGGAAACAUUACGCAAAAAAUCUAAUGUUCUGUAUUAUCAUAGUAUUAAUUUAGAGUAUAUAUCUUCUAGAGUGGUUUGAAGCCACAUCCUAUACAAGUUUAGCAGAUAAUUUUUAAGGUUGGUUAUAUAUAUUUUUCAAUAUGCUAUGAGUUCCGUGCCCUUCUGUCUGGUGUUUUUGCUUUUUAAUCUACUGAAUGUUUUUAUUUUUCUAUAGUUGUAUAGAAAGGCGUAGUUGGGUUCUGGAUCAAGUGAUUUGUUGUAUUGUGGUCCUUGAGAAAGACUUCUAGUUGCCUGCAAAUAAUUAGCAAUUGUGACCUUUGUACAUAGUGCUACCUUUAAUGUGAGCCUUUAAUUAAUCUGUGUCAUGAUUCAAGCUACAUAUUGGCAACUUUAUGGAUUUGUUCAGACAUAUACAUUGACAUCACUAGUUUGAGUUAAUCAGUUAAGCAUCUCUCUUGAGGGGCUUUCUAUUAUCUUAAGUGGAUUUUAUUGAUAACAAUUGUUCUUUUUAGUUUUUCAUUAGAAUUUCUCAUCUUCAGUAUAUAAGAUUGUCUAAUUGAUACAUUCUGAAACAUUAGGUUUAGGUGGUAUUUCUUUUUUUGUUGGUUGAGGUGGAGAAUAGCAACAUUUGCUGAUAUUUGAAACUUUCCUUCCACCCAUUGUCGAUCAUAAUUUUUUGUUUUGGUUUUUCCUGAAAAGCUCUAAUUCUUUAUUAAAUGUAGUUCACUUGAGUGGUUGAGUCAUCAACAUUUAGAGGAUGUCUGAAAUACAUCGGGUGUAUAGGUUAUGAAAUAUAUUACGAUCAAUGGUUGUCUUUGGUUCAGGUUUGUUCAGGACAUCUAUAGGGUAGAGGGCAGGGAAGAAGACAGGAAUGUGAUUUCCCGAAUUCCUCUCUUGAUACCUAAGGUGCCUCAACAAAGGGAUGAUGAGGAAUGUGGAAGCUACGUUCUCUAUUUCAUCAACUUAUUUAUGCAAUUUGCUCCAGAAAACUUUUGUGAUUCUUAUUACCCAUACUUUGAUUCUGGAUAACAAUAAAUUUGAAGGAAGCAUCCCAUCAGCAAUAGGUCUAGUGAAUGAAAUGGAGAAGAUUGGAUUGGAAUUCGUUCAGUGGGUCUGUCCCUUCAAACAUUUCCAAUCUUACUGAAGUUACCAAAAUGCUUUUAUCUAACAACCAAUUCACGGGCUCUAUGCCUGACCUUACUGGCAUGAACCAACUCAGUUACUUGGACAUGAGCAACAAUAGUUUUGAUACUUCAGAUGUUCCAUCAUGGUUCACAACCUUGCCGUCGUUGAUUACUUUGUAAAUUUCUUGACUUCCCUUUUACACAAAAGGAUUAACUUAAUAAUUUUGUAUUGAAUGAAAUCAGAUAGAAUAUUCCUUUGUAAUGUAAUUUUAUCGUCAUACUGGAGAUGCGAAAAGACUGGUUUGAUCUUGAAAACUUAGAGUAUUUCCGCAACAACCUUGAGAAGGAACUGUCUAGUAAAGUAGCUGCUAAAAGCACACAACAAACUUGAAAAGUCAAAUAUUCAGAUAGGCUUGUUUCUCUGUUAAAAGCACACUCUUUCAUCUCUUGGCUGGCUGUUCAAGGAAGGCUUAGAACAAGAGAUAGGCUUGUUUCUCUGGGAUGCUGUGAGGAUGCAAGUUGUCUGCUUUGUGGUGAGGCAAAUGAGACUCAUGAGCAUUUAUUUUUUGAUUGUUCUUAUAGUAGAAUCUGUAUUAAGGCUGUUGGUUCAUGGCUAGGCAUCAAUGAGAGGUAUUUUAGACUUGACAGAUCGUGGAAGCAUUGACAGAGACAUAGUUGAUGCUCCUGUGUAGCUGUUUCUGUUCUGUUGAUGUUAGCUAUGAGGCUGUGUCUGCUCAGCUGGUUGUCCUGUUCAGCUAUUAGAUGCUAGUUCUUUUAUCUUAAUUACUGCAGGGUUGGUUUUCCUGUCUGUGUUGCUGUGAGCUGCUGUUUCUGCUACAGUGCUGUGUCUGCUAUGCUGUGAUGUCGAGUUUUCCUGUGUUGAUGUGAUGCACUGCUGUGUUGGUGUUGCUGUCUGCUUCCUUUUGCAGUGCUGUGUUGCUGGAAUUUGGGGUGCUGUGAUGCUGAGUUGAUGUGCUUGCUGUGCUGCUUUGGUGUUGCCCUGUGUUUUGUUAUUUUUGUAGCCUGUUGAGCUGCUUAGUUUGGGCAGCUUAGUUCGAUGUUUGCUGUUUAUAUGCUUCAUUAGAACAGGUUUUUGGAGUAUUAGAAGUAAAUUUCUAUAACUUUAUAUAUAUAUUAGUGUUUAUA
RNA transcript from Chenopodium quinoa (quinoa), 3334 nucleotides. It is a transcript of the gene named probable leucine-rich repeat receptor-like protein kinase At5g49770, with no coding region annotated. Lineage: Eukaryota; Viridiplantae; Streptophyta; Magnoliopsida; Caryophyllales; Amaranthaceae. The record is from RefSeq and is a predicted model, not a curated record. The transcript is spliced from 6 exons.